RNAcentral lists this ribosomal RNA (508 nucleotides) under uncultured Glomeraceae. RNAcentral's name for it is "SSU rRNA". It matches the Rfam family "Eukaryotic small subunit ribosomal RNA", at positions 569 to 1082 of the family's 1831-position model. Lineage: Eukaryota; Fungi; Glomeromycota; Glomeromycetes; Glomerales; Glomeraceae. The record is from RNAcentral.
CGCAGCCGCGGUAAUUCCAGCUCCAAUAGCGUAUAUUAAAGUUGCUGCAGUUAAAAAGCUCGUAGUUGAAUUUCGAGACCGGCUUACUGGUCGUGCUAUUGUACGUACUGGUAUAAUCGGUUUCUCCUUUCUGACGAACUAUAAUGCCAUUAAUUUGGUGUUUUAGGGAAUCAGGACUGUUACUUUGAAAAAUUAGAGUGUUUAAAGCAGGCUCACGCUUGAAUACAUUAGCAUGGAAUAACGGAAUAGGGACGUUUGAUUCUAUUUUGUUGGUUUCUAGGAUCGACGUAAUGAUUAAUAGGGAUAGUUGGGGGCAUUAGUAUUCAAUUGUCAGAGGUGAAAUUCUUGGAUUUAUUGAAGACUAACUACUGCGAAAGCAUUUGCCAAGGAUGUUUUCAUUAAUCAAGAACGAAAGUUAGGGGAUCGAAGACGAUCAGAUACCGUCGUAGUCUUAACCAUAAACUAUGCCGACUAGGGAUCGGAUGAUGUUAAUUUUUUAAUGUACUCA